AGCGAACGCUGGCGGCAGGCUUAACACAUGCCAGUCGAGCGGGCCCUUCGGGGUCAGCGGCGGACGGGUGAGUAACGCGUGGGAACGUGCCUUCUGGUCUGGAAUAACCCUGGGAAACUAGGGCUAAUACCGGAUACGCCCUUUUGGGGAAAGGCUUACUGCCGGAAGAUCGGCCCGCGUCUGAUUAGCUAGUUGGUGGGGUAACGGCCUACCAAGGCGACGAUCAGUAGCUGGUCUGAGAGGAUGAUCAGCCACACUGGGACUGAGACACGGCCCAGACUCCUACGGGAGGCAGCAGUGGGGAAUAUUGGACAAUGGGCGCAAGCCUGAUCCAGCCAUGCCGCGUGAGUGAUGAAGGCCUUAGGGUUGUAAAGCUCUUUUAUCCGGGACGAUAAUGACGGUACCGGAGGAAUAAGCCCCGGCUAACUUCGUG
RNAcentral lists this ribosomal RNA (433 nucleotides) under uncultured bacterium. RNAcentral describes it as "partial 16S ribosomal RNA". It matches the Rfam family "Bacterial small subunit ribosomal RNA", at positions 29 to 507 of the family's 1533-position model. The record is from RNAcentral.